Molecule: ribosomal RNA, 492 nt
Filed under: uncultured bacterium
Lineage: Bacteria
Description: partial 16S ribosomal RNA
Rfam family: Bacterial small subunit ribosomal RNA
Source: RNAcentral
AGUGAACGCUGGCGGUAGGCCUAACACAUGCAAGUCGAACGGCAGCACAGUAAGAGCUUGCUCUUACGGGUGGCGAGUGGCGGACGGGUGAGGAAUACAUCGGAAUCUACUUUUUCGUGGGGGAUCACGUAGGGAAACUUACGCUAAUACCGCAUACGACCUACGGGUGAAAGCAGUGGAUCUUCGGACCUUGCGCGAUUGAAUGAGCCGAUGUCGGAUUAGCUAGUUGGCGGGGUAAAGGCCCACCAAGGCGACGAUCCGUAGCUGGUCUGAGAGGAUGGUAGGCCACACUGGAGCUGAGACACGGUCCAGACUCCUACGGGAGGCAGCAGUGGGGAAUAUUGGACAAUGGGCGCAAGCCUGAUCCAGCCAUACCGCGUGGGUGAAGAAGGCGUUCGGGUUGUAAAGCCCUUUUGUUGGGAAAGAAAAGCAGCAGGUUAAUACCCCGCUGUUCUGACGGUACCCAAAGAAUAAGCACCGGCUAACUUCGUG